UAAGCCGUUGAAGGUGAAUCGUAAGGUUUGCUGGAGGUAUCAGAAGUGCGAAUGCUGACAUGAGUAACGACAAAGGGGGUGAAAAACCUCCUCGCCGGAAGACCAAGGGUUCCUGUCCAACGUUAAUCGGGGCAGGGUGAGUCGACCCCUAAGGUGAGGCCGAAAGGCGUAAUCGAUGGGAAACGGGUUAAUAUUCCCGUACUUCUGACUAUUGCGAUGGGGGGACGGAGAAGGCUAGGUGGGCCAGGCGACGGUUGUCCUGGUUCAAGUGCGUAGGCUUGAGAGUUAGGUAAAUCCGGCUCUCUCUAAGGCUGAGACACGACGUCGAGCUACUACGGUAGUGAAGUCAUUGAUGCCAUGCUUCCAGGAAAAGCCUCUAAGCUUCAGAUAGUCAGGAAUCGUACCCCAAACCGACACAGGUGGUCGGGUAGAGAAUACCAAGGCGCUUGAGAGAACUCGGGUGAAGGAACUAGGCAAAAUGGUACCGUAACUUCGGGAGAAGGUACGCUCUUGAUGGUGAAGUCCCUCGCGGAUGGAGCUGACGAGAGUCGCAGAUACCAGGUGGCUGCAACUGUUUAUUAAAAACACAGCACUGUGCAAAAUCGCAAGAUGACGUAUACGGUGUGACGCCUGCCCGGUGCCGGAAGGUUAAUUGAUGGGGUUAGCGCAAGCGAAGCUCUUGAUCGAAGCCCCGGUAAACGGCGGCCGUAACUAUAACGGUCCUAAGGUAGCGAAAUUCCUUGUCGGGUAAGUUCCGACCUGCACGAAUGGCGUAAUGAUGGCCACGCUGUCUCCACCCGAGACUCAGUGAAAUUGAAAUCGCUGUGAAGAUGCAGUGUACCCGCGGCUAGACGGAAAGACCCCGUGAACCUUUACUACAGCUUGGCACUGAACAUUGAACCUACAUGUGUAGGAUAGGUGGGAGGCUAUGAAGACGUGACGCCAGUUGCGUUGGAGCCGUCCUUGAAAUACCACCCUUGUAUGUUUGAUGUUCUAACUUAGACCCAUUAUCUGGGUUGAGGACAGUGCCUGGUGGGUAGUUUGACUGGGGCGGUCUCCUCCCAAAGAGUAACGGAGGAGCACGAAGGUGGGCUAAUCACGGUUGGACAUCGUGAGGUUAGUGCAAUGGCAUAAGCCCGCUUAACUGCGAGAAUGACGGUUCGAGCAGGUGCGAAAGCAGGUCAUAGUGAUCCGGUGGUUCUGUAUGGAAGGGCCAUCGCUCAACGGAUAAAAGGUACUCCGGGGAUAACAGGCUGAUACCGCCCAAGAGUUCAUAUCGACGGCGGUGUUUGGCACCUCGAUGUCGGCUCAUCACAUCCUGGGGCUGAAGUCGGUCCCAAGGGUAUGGCUGUUCGCCAUUUAAAGUGGUACGCGAGCUGGGUUUAGAACGUCGUGAGACAGUUCGGUCCCUAUCUGCCGUGGGCGUUGGAAGAUUGAAGGGGGCUGCUCCUAGUACGAGAGGACCGGAGUGGACGAACCUCUGGUGUUCGGGUUGUGUCGCCAGACGCAUUGCCCGGUAGCUAAGUUCGGAAUUGAUAAGCGCUGAAAGCAUCUAAGCGCGAAGCGAGCCCUGAGAUGAGUCUUCCCUGACAGUUUAACUGUCCUAAAGGGUUGUUCGAGACUAGAACGUUGAUAGGCAGGGUGUGUAAGCGUUGUGAGGCGUUGAGCUAACCUGUACUAAUUGCCCGUGAGGCUUAACCAUACAACACCCAAGGGGUUUUGUA
RNAcentral lists this ribosomal RNA (1724 nucleotides) under Vibrio cholerae. RNAcentral describes it as "partial 23S ribosomal RNA". It matches the Rfam family "Bacterial large subunit ribosomal RNA", at positions 1243 to 2925 of the family's 2925-position model. Lineage: Bacteria; Pseudomonadati; Pseudomonadota; Gammaproteobacteria; Vibrionales; Vibrionaceae. RNAcentral also lists the same sequence under 1 other name. The record is from RNAcentral.